GUAAGGAAUAUUGGGCAAUGGAGGCAACUCUGACCCAGCCAUGCCGCGUGAAGGAUGACGGCCCUCGUGGUUGUAAACUUCUUUUGUACGGGAAUAACCCUCCGAACGUGUUCGGAGCUGAAGGUACCGUAAGAUUAAGGAUCGGCUAACUCCGUGCCAGCAGCCGCGGUAAUACGGAGGAUCCAAGCGUUAUCCGGAUUUACUGGGUUUAAAGGGUGCGUAGGCGGAUUGAUAAGUCAGUGGUGAAAGCCUACAGCUUAACUGUAGAACUGCCAUUGAUACUGCCAGUCUGGAGUAUGGUUGAGGUAGCUGGAAUGUGUCAUGUAGCGGUGAAAUGCUUAGAGAUGACACAGAACACCAACGGCGAAGGCAGGUUACCAACCCAUUACUGACGCUGAGGCACGAAAGCGUGGGGAUCAAACAGGAUUAGAUACCCGUGUAGUCC
Molecule: ribosomal RNA, 445 nt
Filed under: uncultured bacterium
Lineage: Bacteria
Description: partial 16S ribosomal RNA
Rfam family: Bacterial small subunit ribosomal RNA
Source: RNAcentral